RNAcentral lists this ribosomal RNA (465 nucleotides) under uncultured Streptococcus sp. RNAcentral's name for it is "bacterial SSU rRNA". It matches the Rfam family "Bacterial small subunit ribosomal RNA", at positions 338 to 795 of the family's 1533-position model. The record is from RNAcentral. Lineage: Bacteria; Bacillati; Bacillota; Bacilli; Lactobacillales; Streptococcaceae.
CCUACGGGGAGCAGCAGUAGGGAAUCUUCGGCAAUGGACGGAAGUCUGACCGAGCAACGCCGCUUGAGUGAAGAAGGUUUUCUGAUCGUAAAGCUCUGUUGUUAGAGAAGAACGUUGGUAGUAGUGGAAAAUCUACCAAGUGACGGUAACUAACCAGAAAGGGACGGCUAACUACGUGCCAGCAGCCGCGGUAAUACGUAGGUCCCGAGCGUUGUCCGGAUUUAUUGGGCGUAAAGCGAGCGCAGGCGGUUCUUUAAGUCUGAAGUUAAAGGCAGUGGCUUAACCAUUGUACGCUUUGGAAACUGGAGGACUUGAGUGCAGAAGGGGAGAGUGGAAUUCCAUGUGUAGCGGUGAAAUGCGUAGAUAUAUGGAGGAACACCGGUGGCGAAAGCGGCUCUCUGGUCUGUAACUGACGCUGAGGCUCGAAAGCGUGGGGAGCAAACAGGAUUAGAUACCCGUGUAGUC